GCUCCUCACCGGGACCCGAGCGGGCGCUGAGGGAAAGACAUGAGUCAUGGGGAUCAGUAAGCCUUAUAAGGCCACCCAGGAAAUGUAGCACAACACAUGGGAGUGCUGAGGUGGUGUUCCUGCAGUUCUUUCCUAUAGAGGUCACUUCAUAUUCCAUCUGAUGAGUAUUAGUUGAGUUUGGACAUAACUCGCACACAAAGUGCUGAAGCCUUGAGGGGGAAACCACAGUGUACGCCACUCAGCCACUGCUCUGAGUCACACACAGAUUUCUUCAGCCCCAUAUCUGCUCCCAUUGCUUAACUGUGAGCCCAGUCUGUGCUUCAGCCAGAAAUGUUGCUGUCUGAAGGACAAGCUUGCGCUAUGAUGAGGUGGUUUUUAGGCUAUCAGUCAUUGUACAGACACUUUCACAGAUACCUGCAUUUCCCUUUUUGUGAUGAGACAGCAAACGGCCAGGCAGCAGCUAAAUGACUAAACCACAGCUCUGAAAAGCAAACCCUCCAGGCUGCAGUAAAUCACGAACUCGGAAUGAGUCAGAAAUGUCAUACUGCUGUCCAGAGUUGAGAAGAGAUGUGACAAGAGUGACCUGUGAGGAAAGGCGGCAGUAGCUCAGUCUGGAAAAGGUAAAAUGGGUGAAACAGAACAUUGUGAAGAGGGAGGCACACACUGUAUUGAAAAGUGAUGUUGUGCCUGUGAGGUGAGGACUGCAUUGCAAGCCUUGAAGAUCCCUUUCAUGGAAGUUUACAGGUCUCUGCAGCACAGCAGAAAAUGUAGUACUGCCCUUGAGA
Neopsephotus bourkii (Bourke's parrot) is the source of this 785-nucleotide long non-coding RNA. RefSeq lists it as uncharacterized. NCBI's taxonomy places the organism in Eukaryota, Metazoa, Chordata, Aves, Psittaciformes, Psittacidae. The record is from RefSeq and is a predicted model, not a curated record. The transcript is spliced from 3 exons.